Molecule: ribosomal RNA, 124 nt
Filed under: Pteropus vampyrus (large flying fox)
Lineage: Eukaryota; Metazoa; Chordata; Mammalia; Chiroptera; Pteropodidae
Source: RNAcentral
GUCUAUGGCCACGCCACCCUGAACAAGCCCAAUCCCGUCUGAUCUCAGAAGCUACGUAGGGUUGGGUCGGGCCUGGUUAGUACUUGGAUGGGAGACCACCUAGGAAGACCAGAUGCUGUAGGUG